Molecule: ribosomal RNA, 273 nt
Filed under: uncultured bacterium
Lineage: Bacteria
Description: partial 16S ribosomal RNA
Rfam family: Bacterial small subunit ribosomal RNA
Source: RNAcentral
UACGUAGGGGCCGAGCGUUGUCCGGAGUUACUGGGCGUAAAGCGCGCGCAGGCGGUGCGUUAAGCCUGCCGUGAAAGCCCCCGGCUCAACCGGGGAGGGUCGGCGGGGACUGGCGCACUUGAGGACGGCAGGGGCCGGUGGAAUCCCCGGUGUAGUGGUGAAAUGCGUAGAGAUCGGGGGGAACACCCGUGGCGAAGGCGGCCGGCUGGGCCGGACCUGACGCUGAGGCGCGAAGGCGUGGGGAGCGAACGGGAUUAGAAACCCCCGUAGUCC